GGGGGAGCGCUUGGUGCCACCUUUUGCAUAUGAGAUACUAUUGCGAGUAACAUUCCCUGCAUCAUCAGCUAGAGUAAAGGCUACUGAGAGGUUUGAGGCAGUAUAUCCUAUCUUAAGAGAGGUGGCUUUGGCUGGCUCCACUGGAAGCAAAGCAAUGAAACAAGUAUCAUUGCAGAUACUAAGUUUCGCUAUUAAAGCAGCUGGAGAAAGCAAUCCCGAGUUAUCCAAGGAAGCAGCU
This 238-nucleotide unclassified non-coding RNA is filed under the name Hevea brasiliensis (rubber tree). The record is from RNAcentral. Lineage: Eukaryota; Viridiplantae; Streptophyta; Magnoliopsida; Malpighiales; Euphorbiaceae.